GUGCCAGCAGCCGCGGUAAUACGGAGGUCCCGAGCGUUGUUCGGAAUCACUGGGCGUAAAGGGCGCCUAGGCGGGUCUGUUAGUCGGGUAUGAAAUCCCCUUGGCUCAACCAGGGAACCGUGCCCGAAACUGCAGGCCUAGAGUGUAGCAGAGGAGAGUGGAACUCCUGGUGGAGCGGUGAAAUGCGUAGAUAUCAGGAGGAACGCCGGAGGCGAAAGCGAUUCUCUGGGCUACUACUGACGCUGAAGCGCGAAAGCUAGGGGAGCAAACGGGAUUAGAUACCCCGGUAGUCCUAGCCGUAAACGAUGAGCACUAAGUAGAGGAGACUCCGACGUUUUCCCUGCUGUAGCUAACGCGUUAAGUGCUCCGCCUGGGGACUACGGUCGCAAGACUAAAACUUAAAUGAAUUGACGGGG
This 416-nucleotide ribosomal RNA is filed under the name uncultured prokaryote. RNAcentral describes it as "bacterial SSU rRNA". It matches the Rfam family "Bacterial small subunit ribosomal RNA", at positions 505 to 918 of the family's 1533-position model. The record is from RNAcentral.